ACCCCGUCAUUUUUCCCCCUCCCUCCCACGCACUCUCCAAAUUCUUCAGAGAAACCCUAAACCCUCCCCUUCUCCAUCGAUCUGUUCUCUCCAUCUCUACAAAUUUCACCCUCGAUCCCACUCUCCCUCUCGAUCUGUUGCCUACUUGCCUCUUGAAGUUGAACCCACGCCCAAUUUCCCUACGAAUCAGAGAAGCCUGGGUGGUGGCUCAGGCCUUGAAGAACCUCGGCGAGACAGAGGUUGUGUCGGCGAUUCUUGGGGGAAAUAUUCUGAGGCUGGGAUUCCUCUCGAGUUGGGGCUGGUUGGUAGGCAAGUCAUUUGUCGAUUCACCACUGCACUCGAUCUUUCUUCUCUCUUCGAUUCUACUCUCUGUCUCCAACGCUCUCCUCCAUGGUUGCCCUCCUCCACCGCGCCGCUCUCCUCCACUGUCACCCUCCUCCACCACGCCGCUCUCCUCCACCACUGUUUGCCCUCCUCCACCGCCGUUCUCCUCUCCUCCGUCGAUUUCAAAUUCUGGAACGCUGAAAUAGGAUUCUCUUAUGGUUUCGUUUGAUUUAGUCAGUUCCAAUCAAUUUCAGACAUUCAAAGAAGUUGAUACAAAGCUUGAUGGGAAGAUUGACUUGGAAGAAUGGAAAGAACAUGUCGUGAAGCGUCGAUCUUAUUUAUUUAGAAUGCUAAAUGUGAGUUGUUCUAAUGUUUUGGUUUAAUGAUUUAAUGAUUUACAGGAUUAUUAUUGUGGGAAAAGCCCUACAAGGGAAAGAGUUCGGAAAAGAAGACAUGAUACACUGUUAGUCAUAGAUACAUGUACUGCUCUUUCCUUUAUCGUGCUUCACAGCUUCAUAUGAGUUGAUGUAGAUGUGCAUCUUGUAAUUGAAUAAGUUUUCUAGUACUUCUUUUCAUUUGCCUAUUGUUUUUUGAACUUCUUUUUGCUAGUGGAGAGUGUAUCUUGGCCCCAGGAUCUAGAAUCUCAAAUAAAUCAUGGUUUUCUUAAACUUAAA
Long non-coding RNA from Lotus japonicus, 998 nucleotides. RefSeq lists it as uncharacterized. The transcript is spliced from 3 exons. The record is from RefSeq and is a predicted model, not a curated record. NCBI's taxonomy places the organism in Eukaryota, Viridiplantae, Streptophyta, Magnoliopsida, Fabales, Fabaceae.